CUCGCAGCCUCGUAACCCCAACAACAGGCCCCGGAGCUCAGCUUUUUAUUCCCACUUCACAGAUGAGGGAACGAAGACACGACCCACCCAAACUCACAGGUGGGCAGGGGGUGGUCUGACUCCCAGCCCAGUCCCAGGACCUGCUGGAAGUGAGGCAGCACGAACCCCCCAGGGCUCAGCUCUCCAAAUCCAAAAUGGAGGGGUUUCCCUUCACCCCUCAGCGCUCUGGAGGGAACGACAACUGCAGAUUCCAAGGUGUUUCAGGGAAAAGCCAUGCCCCCCGUGUCAGCCAGCACAGCCUGCAACGACCACACUGGUAACAAACAAGUAACUGUCCCAUUUUCCCUGAACUAUGUCUUCAAUUUCAUCUAAAAAUGGAACUAUGAAUUCCAAUGAGUCAGAGAAUCUUUUAAAAUGUAUAUUUAAAUGCACUAAGAUAUUGAGUUGCUAUAUAUCACAUUCACCCUCUAGGCACCUGAAGACACAAGUGACAGCAAUAUUGGCUGUGUGCAUUUCAUUAAAUAGGUUUACCCCCAAAACUGUCCACUUGCCUUUUAAACAUCCUUAGGGUUGCUGCCUUCAAAAACAAGCCUUUUGUUUCCACAGAGAAAUGCAUGCAAGUGGCUCCUCCCUGCAAAUCAGAACAUCUGACCCUGGCCCAGCACCGGACUCCUGUCCUGGAUGUGGUCUCAACAGCACAGCCUUGGAGCAAACCCAGGGAGCUCGAAUGAGUGACGGUCCUGGUGUGGGUUCAGCCAUAACCUCCAGGACAGAUGAGAGCAGGCACUUCUAAAGGGUGGCCCUUCCGAGAGGGAAAGGCCUGGAGCCUUACGCUGGAGCAUGCUCACUCUGGGGGUCUAGCGCCGAGUCCCGGGUCCUGAGGGACACACUGUGAGCCUGGAGUUGGUGACGGCUGGGGACAUACUGUGAGCCUGGAGCUGAUGACAGCUGGAACCGGACGGUGCACUGUGAGCCUGGAGCUGGUGACGGCUGGGGACAUACUGUGAGCCUGGAGCUGGUGGCUGCUGGAGACAUACUGUGAGCCUGGAGCUGGUGACGGCUGGAACCAGACAUUGCACUGUGAGCCUGCAGCUGGUGACAGCUGGGGACAUACUGUGAGCCUGGACCUGGUGACGGCUGGAACCGGACGGUGCACUGUGAACCUGGAGCUGAUGACAGCUGGGGACAUACUGUGAGCCUGGAGCUGGUGACGGCUGGGGACAUACGGGCUUUGAUCAUCAGCACGUGCUUGGAACUGUCACUCAGAACUCUGGGCUGUGGUGGCAUUUAGUGCACUGAGUUUUGACCUGUCCUGAGCCCUACAAACCUAACUUGUUGUUUUCUAAAAUUAAGGCCAAAAUGCCAGCAAAGCAAGCAUUAUUCCACCCGGUUACCUGCCCACAUCUGCACCAGACACUGCCACCG
This 1425-nucleotide long non-coding RNA is filed under the name Homo sapiens (human). RNAcentral's name for it is "HSALNT0131683". Lineage: Eukaryota; Metazoa; Chordata; Mammalia; Primates; Hominidae. The record is from RNAcentral.